Molecule: transfer RNA, 77 nt
Filed under: Desulfobotulus pelophilus
Lineage: Bacteria; Pseudomonadati; Thermodesulfobacteriota; Desulfobacteria; Desulfobacterales; Desulfobacteraceae
Description: tRNA-Trp
Rfam family: tRNA
About the family: Transfer RNA (tRNA) molecules are approximately 80 nucleotides in length. Their secondary structure includes four short double-helical elements and three loops (D, anti-codon, and T loops). Further hydrogen bonds mediate the characteristic L-shaped molecular structure. tRNAs have two regions of fundamental functional importance: the anti-codon, which is responsible for specific mRNA codon recognition, and the 3' end, to which the tRNAs corresponding amino acid is attached (by aminoacyl-tRNA synthetases). tRNAs cope with the degeneracy of the genetic code in two manners: having more than one tRNA (with a specific anti-codon) for a particular amino acid; and 'wobble' base-pairing, i.e. permitting non-standard base-pairing at the 3rd anti-codon position.
Source: RNAcentral
AGGCCAGUAGCUCGAAUUGGUAGAGCGGCGGACUCCAAAUCCGUAGGCUGGGGGUUCGAGUCCCUCCUGGCCUGCCA